UGACUUAGGGCUGGAACAUUCUGUGGUGG
This 29-nucleotide non-coding RNA is filed under the name Mus musculus (house mouse). The record is from RNAcentral. Lineage: Eukaryota; Metazoa; Chordata; Mammalia; Rodentia; Muridae.